AUGGAUAAAUUCCUUUAUCUUUUUAUUGGGAUAAUCUCUACAACAAAUAAUUUUAAACGUAGAAUAGUGGUUCGUAGAACUGCGGUAUCAUGCGUGGGUAGUGACCACCUUAUUGAAGAUCCUUCUUCCUGUUUUGAUUGCAUUUUCGUUCACUAUGUACUUGGUUACACCUUGUCACAAGACAAUACUCUUCAAAAUUUUGUCAAAACUCUUCUUGUGUUCUGUCUAUUCUAG
This 234-nucleotide ribosomal RNA is filed under the name Triticum aestivum (bread wheat). RNAcentral describes it as "partial small subunit ribosomal RNA". Lineage: Eukaryota; Viridiplantae; Streptophyta; Magnoliopsida; Poales; Poaceae. The record is from RNAcentral.